UUGUCGGUAGUGUAGUGGACUACCGAGGUUUUUACGGGUGACGGGGGAUCAGGGUUCGAUUCCGGAGAGGGAGCCUGAGAAACGGCUACCACAUCCAAGGAAGGCAGCAGGCGCGCAAAUUACCCAAUCCAGACAAUGGGAGGUGGUGACGAAAAGUACCAGAUGACGAUCUAAGAUUGUCAAUUUGGAAUGGAAUCAAUUUAAGCAAUUGAUUGAGGAACGACUAGAGGGCAAGUCUGGUGCCAGCAGCCGCGGUAAUUCCAGCUCUAGUAGCGUAUCCCAAAGUUGCUGCGCUUAAAACGCUCGUAGUUGGAUCACAAACUAUACGCGAGUUGGUGUGGUGCUGUAUCAAAUUUAUGAAUCAUGCAAGGUGUCCACAUUUUGUAUGGUUUUUAUGUGGUGCAGUGCUGCUACCGUAAGCUAGUGUAUAGUAAUUGCACGUGAGGAUAGACAUUAGCCUUGAAUGAGUAGAUGUUUGUGUCUCACGGAGUGUGCCUUGAAUAAAUCAAAGUGCUUAAAGCAGGCUGUACGCUUGAAUGUUAAAGCAUGGAACGAACAAUCGUGUAGGGUGCAUGUUGGUCAAUGAGUGUGAGGCCUAGCCUUGCAUUCAUCAACAUGUGACACCGACCGCCAAUAACGGAUGUUGGUUCCGUAUUGGGGUAUUGAUUAAGAGGAGCGGUUGGGGGCAUUGGUAUUUGGCAGCGAGAGGUGAAAUUCUUGGACCUGUCAAGGACUAACAAAUGCGAAGGCAUCUGUCCAGACCGUAUCCAUUAAUCAAGAACGAUAGUGAGAGGUUCGAAGACGAUCAGAUACCGUCCUAGUUCUCACUGUAAACUAUGCCGACCCGGGAUCAGUUUGGAGCUCUUUUCCAUGCUCGGAGUUGGUCCCCCAA
This 892-nucleotide ribosomal RNA is filed under the name Myxobolus spinacurvatura. RNAcentral's name for it is "SSU rRNA". It matches the Rfam family "Eukaryotic small subunit ribosomal RNA", at positions 322 to 1091 of the family's 1831-position model. Lineage: Eukaryota; Metazoa; Cnidaria; Myxozoa; Bivalvulida; Myxobolidae. The record is from RNAcentral.